This 465-nucleotide ribosomal RNA is filed under the name Vreelandella stevensii. RNAcentral's name for it is "partial 16S ribosomal RNA". It matches the Rfam family "Bacterial small subunit ribosomal RNA", at positions 338 to 795 of the family's 1533-position model. Lineage: Bacteria; Pseudomonadati; Pseudomonadota; Gammaproteobacteria; Oceanospirillales; Halomonadaceae. The record is from RNAcentral.
CCUACGGGGGGCUGCAGUGGGGAAUAUUGGACAAUGGGCGAAAGCCUGAUCCAGCCAUGCCGCGUGUGUGAAGAAGGCCUUCGGGUUGUAAAGCACUUUCAGUGGGGAAGAAAGCCUUGGGGCUAAUACCCUCGAGGAAGGACAUCACCCACAGAAGAAGCACCGGCUAACUCCGUGCCAGCAGCCGCGGUAAUACGGAGGGUGCGAGCGUUAAUCGGAAUUACUGGGCGUAAAGCGCGCGUAGGCGGUCUGAUAAGCCGGUUGUGAAAGCCCCGGGCUCAACCUGGGAACGGCAUCCGGAACUGUCAAGCUUGAGUGCAGGAGAGGAAAGUAGAACUCCCGGUGUAGCGGUGAAAUGCGUAGAGAUCGGGAGGAAUACCAGUGGCGAAGGCGGCCUUCUGGACUGACACUGACGCUGAGGUGCGAAAGCGUGGGUAGCAAACAGGAUUAGAUACCCCAGUAGUC